RNAcentral lists this ribosomal RNA (468 nucleotides) under uncultured bacterium. Its description in RNAcentral is "partial 16S ribosomal RNA". It matches the Rfam family "Bacterial small subunit ribosomal RNA", at positions 29 to 507 of the family's 1533-position model. The record is from RNAcentral.
AGCGAACGCUGGCGGCAUGCUUAACACAUGCAAGUCGAACGGAAAGACCCUACUUGUUUGGUGUUCUCGAUUGGCGAACGGGUGAGUAACACGUAAGUAACCUACCCUUGACUUUGGGAUGACUUAAUGAAGCGAGAGCUAAUCCCGUAUCGCAUCUCCUCCUGCAGUGUGGGGGUUGGAACUUUGCGGCUGUUGGGGAUGAACGCGCGGGUGAUCAACUAGUUGGUUGGGUAGUGGCUUACCAAGGCUGUGACGGGUAGCCGGCCUGAGAGGGGGACCGGCCACCUUGGGACUGAGAUACGGCCCAGACUGCUAUGGGAGGCAGUAGUGGGGAAUAUUGUACAAUGGGAGGAAGCAUGAUGAAGCAACGCUGAGUGUGGGAUGCCGGUCUUCGGGGUGUAAAAAGCUUUAGCCUGUGACGACGCGUGAGUGACGGUAAUGGGUAAAGAAGCACCGGCUAACUACGUG